UAGCAACUGGAUGGGUCUUUCCUUG
Molecule: non-coding RNA, 25 nt
Filed under: Rattus norvegicus (Norway rat)
Lineage: Eukaryota; Metazoa; Chordata; Mammalia; Rodentia; Muridae
Source: RNAcentral